UACGUAGGGCGCAAGCGUUAUCCGGAAUUAUUGGGCGUAAAGAGCUCGUAGGCGGUUUGUCGCGUCUGCCGUGAAAGUCCGGGGCUCAACUCCGGAUCUGCGGUGGGUACGGGCAGACUAGAGUGAUGUAGGGGAGACUGGAAUUCCUGGUGUAGCGGUGAAAUGCGCAGAUAUCAGGAGGAACACCGAUGGCGAAGGCAGGUCUCUGGGACGGUACUGACGCUGAGGCGCGAAAGCGUGGGGAGCGAACAGGAUUAGAAACCCUAGUAGU
Molecule: ribosomal RNA, 271 nt
Filed under: uncultured bacterium
Lineage: Bacteria
Description: partial 16S ribosomal RNA
Rfam family: Bacterial small subunit ribosomal RNA
Source: RNAcentral